This 208-nucleotide long non-coding RNA is filed under the name Lathyrus oleraceus (garden pea). Its description in RNAcentral is "Pisum sativum (pea) long non-coding RNA (PSAT_LNC017642)". The record is from RNAcentral. Lineage: Eukaryota; Viridiplantae; Streptophyta; Magnoliopsida; Fabales; Fabaceae.
GACUUUGUGAAACGUGGAUAGGUGUGUGAGAACUGGAUUAUUGUUGAUGUUCCUUCUGUCAUUCACUUGUCGAAGUAAUAUAUUUGUUUUUGUUAUUUUCAAAAUCCUUUCACUAUGCCCAAGGUGAAAGUGAAUCUAUGUGGGUUUUGUUUUAAAUUUCAUUAUCAUUAAUAAAAUGUUAUUUCAUUUAUCCAUAUCAUGUUUUUCC